Molecule: non-coding RNA, 497 nt
Organism: Styela clava
Lineage: Eukaryota; Metazoa; Chordata; Ascidiacea; Stolidobranchia; Styelidae
Source: RefSeq, a predicted model, not a curated record
ACCCAAGGUUAUUAUAAAGUUAUAUAUACAGAAAUAUUUGAAAAGUACUGAAUAUAUCUCUGCCUGAUUUUUGACUUAUUGAACUUAUUGAGAAAUUCUGUAAAGAACAAAAUGUGAGCAUGAUGGAAGAAAAUGCAAAUGAUUCAUUUUCCAAAAGGCAAGAAGAAGAAUUGGAGGUUCUUGAUUCAAUGUUUGGGGAUGAUUUCGAAGAUGUCAGAAAAAAAGAUAAGUGGAAGGUACCUCGACCUCCACGAAAUCCUUCUGGCAUCUAAAACCUCUGGAGAGCAUGGGAGGAACAAAAGAAGUUCAUGCAAUCUGUAACAUUUCGAGCAAAAUUUGCAAAGAAUUACCCAUCCACACCUCCUGAGAUUUCAUUAGAAGAUGCUAAAGGAUUAUCUGAUGAUGUUCUGAAAAAAUUUUUAUUCAAGAAUUGAAUGACAAAGCUGCAAAUUCUGUUGAUGAAGUCAUGAUUUUGGAUCUUGCUCAAAUGAAUACAA